Molecule: ribosomal RNA, 959 nt
Filed under: marine metagenome
Description: bacterial SSU rRNA
Rfam family: Bacterial small subunit ribosomal RNA
Source: RNAcentral
CUUUCGUCGGGGAGAAAUGACUGUACCCGAAUAAGAAGGUCCGGCUAACUUCGUGCCAGCAGCCGCGGUAAUACGAAGGGACCUAGCGUAGUUCGGAAUUACUGGGCUUAAAGAGUUCGUAGGUUGUUAAAAAAGUUGGUGGUGAAAUCCCAGAGCUUAACUCUGGAACUGCCAUCAAAACUUUUUAGCUAGAGUAUGAUAGAGGAAAGCAGAAUUUCUAGUGUAGAGGUGAAAUUCGUAGAUAUUAGAAAGAAUACCAAUUGCGAAGGCAGCUUUCUGGAUCAUUACUGACACUGAGGAACGAAAGCAUGGGUAGCGAAGAGGAUUAGAUACCCUCGUAGUCCAUGCCGUAAACGAUGUGUGUUAGACGUUGGAAAUUUAUUUUCAGUGUCGCAGCGAAAGCAUUAAACACACCGCCUGGGGAGUACGACCGCAAGGUUAAAACUCAAAUGAAUUGACGGGGACCCGCACAAGUAGUGGAGCAUGUGGUUUAAUUCGAAGAUACGCGCAGAACCUUACCAACACUUGACAUGUUCGUCGCGACUUUAAGAGAUUAAAGUUUUCGGUUCGGCCGGACGAAACACAGGUGCUGCAUGGCUGUCGUCAGCUCGUGUCGUGAGAUGUUGGGUUAAGUCCCGCAACGAGCGCAACCCUCACUUUUAGUUGCCAUCAUUAAGUUGGGCACUCUGAAAGAACUGCCAGUGAUAAGCUGGAGGAAGGUGGGGAUGACGUCAAGUCCUCAUGGCCCUUACGUGUUGGGCUACACACGUGCUACAAUGGCAUUUACAAUAGGAAGCAAGAUGGCGACGUCAAGCAAAUCCUAAAAAGAUGCCUCAGUUCGGAUUGUACUCUGCAACUCGAGUACAUGAAGCUGGAAUUACUAGUAAUCGCGGAUCAGCGCGCCGCGGUGAAUACGUUCCCGGGUCUUGUACACACCGCCCGUCACACCAUGGGAGUUG